UUUUUUUUUUUUUUUUUUUUUUUUGAGAUGGAGUCUCGCUCUGUCCCCCAGGCUGGAGUGCGGUGGCACGAUCUUGGCUCACUGCAACCUCCACCUCCUGGGUUCAAGCUAUUCUCAUGCCUCAGCCUCCCAAUGGCUGGGAUUACAGGUGCCCACCACCAAGCCCGGCUAAUUUUUUUGUAUUUUUAGUAGAGACGCGGUUUCACUAUCUUGGCCAGGCUGGUCUUGAACUCCUGACCUUGGCCACGGCAUCUUCUCCUGAGACCACAAACACCAGGAUCUUGUUUUCAGCUUUAAAAACCAAGAGAAUGGGCCGGGUGCACUGGCUCACGCCUCUAAUCUCAGCACUUUGGGAGGCCGAAGACAGCGGAUCAUCUGAGGUCAGGAGUUCAAGACCAGCCUGGCCAACAUGGAGAAACCCCUAAAAAUAGGAACAAUUAGCCAGGCAUGGUGACAGGUGCCUGUAAUCCCAGCUACUUGGGAGGCCGAGGCAUGAGAAUCACUUGAACCCGGGAGGCGGAGGUUGCAGUGAGCUGAGAUCGUGCCACUGCACUCCAGCCUGGGCACCAGAGCGAGACUCCGUCUCAAAGAAAACAACAAAAAAAAAAAAAAAAGAAAAAGGAUUUUCUCCAGCAGCAACCAGUGAAAGAUGAGGCGAGGCUUGAAUGGAGCCCGUGGGUCGUCCUGCCUUAGCGUCUGAGUUCAGCUUGUGAAGUUAGUGGGCCGCAGAGGGCACUGCCUUCAUUCUGCUAAGACGAAAAGGGCUGGUGGGAUCUUCGCAAGAGAGUCAGGGACUCACACUCAGCAAAAAGCAUUAGGGCCGAUUUUAAUGUGCGACCUUGACCUGCAUCUGUCAUGGAAAGUGCCUUCUAAAAAGCUUCAGUGGUGGAUGUGACCAUCUGAAGGAAACAAAUGUACAAGGAAGCACUGUGUAUCCUAAGCCCUGGGUUCCCAGAGUUUCACCUGCUGUUCAUCAGGUCUGGCCUUCAUAUACCCGUACUGCGAGGGCUGUUUCCAAUGUAAAUAAAUAACUG
This 1034-nucleotide long non-coding RNA is filed under the name Homo sapiens (human). Its description in RNAcentral is "HSALNT0258516". The record is from RNAcentral. Lineage: Eukaryota; Metazoa; Chordata; Mammalia; Primates; Hominidae.